GAUGAACGCUGGCGGCGUGCCUAAUACAUGCAAGUCGAGCGAACAGACGAGGAGCUUGCUCCUCUGACGUUAGCGGCGGACGGGUGAGUAACACGUGGAUAACCUACCUAUAAGACUGGGAUAACUUCGGGAAACCGGAGCUAAUACCGGAUAAUAUAUUGAACCGCAUGGUUCAAUAGUGAAAGACGGUUUUGCUGUCACUUAUAGAUGGAUCCGCGCCGCAUUAGCUAGUUGGUAAGGUAACGGCUUACCAAGGCAACGAUGCGUAGCCGACCUGAGAGGGUGAUAGGCCACACUGGAACUGAGACACGGUCCAGACUCUUACGGGAGGCAGCAGUAGGGAAUCUUCCGCAAUGGGCGAAAGCCUGACGGAGCAACGCCGCGUGAGUGAUGAAGGUCUUCGGAUCGUAAAACUCUGUUAUUAGGGAAGAACAAAUGUGUAAGUAACUAUGCACGUCUUGACGGUACCUAAUCAGAAAGCCACGGCUAACUACGUG
Molecule: ribosomal RNA, 497 nt
Filed under: uncultured bacterium
Lineage: Bacteria
Description: partial 16S ribosomal RNA
Rfam family: Bacterial small subunit ribosomal RNA
Source: RNAcentral